GGGUGGUAUCAUUCAGGUUUAACUUUUUAUUUGCUCAUUUCAAGAAAAAAAUCUGCUUCGAAAAGUACAAAUUUUGGCAUGUAUGAAGCUCUCUGGCUUAGAUUAAUCCCAAGCCAACGCAAUCAAUGAUAAAUUAUGUGUUUUGCUGCAGUUAAAGCCCAAUAAAAAGCUCUUUACCAUUAUUGUCUGUUGAUCAGCAGAGACUGCAAAGUGAAAGUUAAUCCAAACUGCAAAAUGCAAAAGCAGUUUCAGUGUAUGUUGGAGCCAUCUCUUCAUCCCUGAGCCUGCUGCUGCAUGUUCAUGAAACCUGGAGAAACACAGAAGACAGAAACCUAUGUAAGGACCAACAGGUUUACACUUAUAUGGGUGCAAAAAAAGAAGACAUUCAUCCAUCCUAAAGUAAGGUUUGUUGCUUUAAUCAUGCAAAAACAGCCAUCAGUCCACCAGGGAUCAAACAGUAGUGGUGCUGCGUGUGAAUAAUAAAAGAAAAUGUCUUAGAAUAAAAAGUAAACCUUUGUGUGUUGAUAAAAUGCUCCAGUUUGCACAAAGAGAAUUAAUAAAGAGGCAUUUGUAGCUUUUAUGCUGAGUCAUCUUUAAAAAAGUUCUAUUAGUCAGAUUAGGACACAUCAGAAAAGUAUCAAGACAUAAAACUGUUUAUAUGAAAUAAAUUAAUAGAUGAAAAACUGAUCAGCAUCAAAGAUGAACUUUUUUUUUAUUUUCUGCAAGAGAAAUGGAUGGACGGUCCAACAGCUGAAUUCUCCACCAUGCUCACCAGCCAAAGGUUGUUGGUACAGACAACAUGAAGCAUAGAUGACUCUACACAGACUCACUCAUAACAAUAGAGGAGGUCACUGAAAGACAAACCAAAAAAGAAGAGAUAACUACUGUUCAGAUGUUCAGUCUUUAAACAGCAGAAGUCAAGGGGUAGGGCCAGCUAAAGCGUCAAACCACCAAAAAGUAACAUCAUUGGCAUUUAUAUAAAGUAUCUUCUUAAUAAACAGCAAAUGUUAGCAAUCAUUGUGUAAACAUAUCUGGAAAAACAGAUUUAUUAUUUUAGUUUGAGGGUAACUGGACAUGUAAACGUGUUAGUCUGACAGAAAUCACAACAAACCAAACUUCUAAUAGUUUGACUAACAAGCCUGUAUAAUGCUGUUCAGGUUUGAUUUUCUGUGCCAUAUAUACGGCUCAAUUGAACUGAAACUGGUCUAAGCGUUCUGUGUAUGCCUCAGUGUCCGCAUGCCGGGCCUUUAGUGGGAGAUCACACAAUUUAAAUAUGUUGCAGGUAACAGAAUCCUGAAAUGAUGAAAAAAAGACAAAGAUUUCCUAACAAACUGCAAAGAGGGAUGAAAGAGACAAUGUUUGCAAUUACAUGUACAUACCACUAGCCUCUUGUUAACAUGUUUUGCAGACUGUAUUGAUAUGUAACACAUUAAGCAGGAGACGCCCUGAUAGCAACAAACUGGAAGGGGACAUGUGACCACCUACCAAAGUGAAGGCAGACACGCUCCUGUCAAUAAUUUGAUUUUUGCCCACUGCAUGCAAACUAGAACAGUAACAGCAGGCAGUUAAACUGCCUAUUUGAGCUUUAAUGGUAGCUCAACUAACAAGUGUAUGUAAACGUACUGAGUGUUCUUGCCAUAGCUAAUCAGUAGUUGUAGUCCUGUAGAUAGUUACCCUACUAAGUCCCGAGUAAAAACUUAGGGACUGCUGUCACACUGGCAAAUUUUGUACGUUUUGUAGUGCAUAAAAAGUAUGACAGAGUAACACACUUCACAAUGUUUUUAAUGCACUUAAUGCUCCUCACACCUCUGGUCUUUAUCUCUCCCUCCUCAACCUCAUCCUUACCUCAAUCUCAAACCUCAACUAUCUCAAUUAUUCUGCACCUCCACCACCUCCAUCUGUUCACCUCCUCCUAAUCUAAACUCAUCUGACUCCUUCUCCACCUCACCACACUCCCCUCCGUCACCCCCUCUCCUCCCUCCCCGAUGUGAAACGCUGACCCUGUGCCUGGUGUCUCCUGGUACUGGGGCUGCCUGCCAAGCUGAACGGGCCCAGAUACAUCGGGUAGCCAGGCUGUGUGUGUGUGUGUGUGUGUGUGUGUGCGUGUGUGUGUGUGUGUGUGUGUGUGUGUGUGUGUGUGUUCGGUCACGGCGUGGGGAUUAUGUGUAUGUGAGUGAUUGAGGGUGACAGCGGCCCUAGCAUUAGGGGCCCUGUGGCAGAUUUCGUGGUCCUGUUUUAGACACACUAAGCUGGAUUUACCAGCAGCAGUGUGUCAGCAGUGAUGCAGCCUGCCUGGACCUCCUACAGAACACACACACACAAAUACACACGAGUGCAAGCACACACUCAGACCCUGGUCACCUCUGACCUCACCUAUCUACCUGCAGCCUGUCUGAAUUAUCCGAGCAUCCCUCUAUCUCUCUGCAUCACUUAAUAAAAAAGUUUUUUUCGGACUUUCACAUGUGAGUUUUACUCAGAGACAUUGCUGACUCAGUUACACCUGCAAAACGAACACCUGAGCCACUGCACUGAACACUAUCUGUACUUAAAGCUCCUAUAAGGAGAUUUUAAGAUCGAUCAAACGUACUGAAAUUCCUAUUCAUGCCUUUUUACAACAUUUUAAAGCAAAACUGACCUUCAGUGCCAGUAGUAAUGAAUUUUAUUUUGGUAUUUUCAAUGUUUGAAACUGAGAGGGUAAGUGUCAGCCAAGGAGCUGAAAAUAUUGCGCUGUCUGUACAAUAUCAAGACAUGAUGAGUAAAGACUGCUUUGUUCACGAGGAGGCGACAAAAUUUGCACUUACUGAAAGUUCUUCACAGGAGCUUUAACUUGAGUUAUAACAAUUCUGCCAACUUCUUCUUCUUUUACUCCUCUACAUUUCUUGAAUAAAUGUGCAUAUGGCUCUGAUAAAAUUCCCCUAAUUCUUCCUCUCAGAAAUUAGUGAUGAUUUAAAAUUUUUCCCCUCAUGAAAACAAACUUUAAAUGAGACAGAGAUUGAAAAUUUGACCUGGUGGGGCGCUGGUUUAGCCUAGAGGUUAAAUGUGCAGCCCAUUUACAGAGUUUUACAGUCUUUGCCAAAGCAGUUUCAGGAUUGACUCCCUGUAUCUCCUCUGCUUCACUUUGUGCUCAAGUAAUGACUUAAAAAAACAGGAUGAUGGUAAUGCAACUUUCUGAAUGCCAUGUGGCGAAAGGCUGGCAAGCUUAAGAAAUGUUUCUUUGUGAUGUAAGAAACCUUGGCUGUCUGUAUCUUUAUUUGAAAGAUUAUUAUGAUUGAGCGCAAACUGGGGUCAAAAACUGAGGAUGGUAGCAGUGCAACACUUUAGAGGCCAAGUGGGGUAAAAACCCCAGAAACCGGAGAGAGUCAGUUCGUAAAUAUGUGAGAUUUUUAUUGAAACACUGCCUUUCUUAAUUUUGAUUUUUUUUUUUUAAACUGAAAAAUACCUCUGAAUGAAUUGAUGCUUGGAGUUUAAAAAAACAACAACACUGGGUUGGUAGGCUUAUAAUGAGAUGAGGUGGAAUUCCGAAUUUUGUGAAGAUCCCGCAGACUUUAUGACAGUUUUUUAAGGUAUGAAAUCUUUGAAGUCCUGGCUGUAUCUGUACUUUAUGUUUUUCAAACACUCCUAGCUGUUUAUUUAUGAAGAUGAAUACUUCAAUAGAAUAGAGACAGAGAAGUUAAAUCAUUAUGGUGGAAGUAACAGCAUUAGGGAUGAAAAGUGGCGUACGAACCUUGCAAGUGAAAUGAUAUCUCGGGCAGAUCAUUGUCUGCUGCUCAGAUGGUGUGUCUGUGUAAAGACAUUUCCUAAAGCUCAGUUAUUGUAUGACGGCUGCUGAAGGUGGAUUUUGUUCCACUUCCUUUACUCUCUACGUGGACUGCGUUUCUGUGCUCAGUUAAACCCUCAUGAUUGUGCUCAGGCUACAAAGAAAAGUUAACUUGAGGUCUGCUUCCCCCAAACCCUCCGGCUUACAUCAAAGGUACAAGAAUUACAGUCUUUGGUUCCGGGAACUUUUCUUAUCCGUUCUCCCAAAGGUUAGAAUUGACCUGAAGAAAAGGGUGUUUGAGUCUGUAGCUCCUGUUAUUCAAAACCAGUUCACAAAAGUAAAAAGUAGUGAGGAACUUUUGAUUUUUAUUUUUCCUAUUAACAAAGAUGCACAAAUUGUUUCUUUUCUAGAGCCCAGUACAUCCAAAGACAAAAAGUCUCACUUUGCUUUCUUUUAAUAUGUGUCAAAUGUGUAAAUUACUGUGAAUAUUCAUUAGAAAUGUAGAGAAAGACUCUUUCCUCAGCAUACUGUUUAUAAUCUGGUUUGACACCUACCCUCUGCAGCAGGAUUAAACACUAAAAUCUACAAUAAAGAGAUCAACAGUCAUGUUACUGAAGGUCUUGCUUGCUUUAGUAGGUCAUAAAUAGGCAUCAGUGUCAAUUUAAAUCUGUUUUGUGAACAGGAAAAAACCCUCCUUAUCGGAGCUUUAAGACACUUGCUGCACUUAAUGCUUUAAAAGCUUUUUAAAUGGCUUUUAGGCAGACAGCUCUUGUUAGAUUCACAGUUUUACACAGAGACUUAGACCAUUUUGGUCUCCUUUUUUAUUUAUUUUCUCUGUUUAAUGUCUUCAGAUUCAAUAAAGCCAUGCAUCUUAUAUUAUUUUUGCAUGUAUUGCUACUCACUGUUUGCCAGAAACAUUAACUGCACUGAUGCCACCUUGAAUUUAAUAUCUUAACACAGGGUUUCAAGCUUCAUUGAGUUAAAAAUAAAAUAAAAACACUUUCAAUACCAAAGUCGAUAGUCAAAUUUUAAAGACAAUUCUUACAGAAAUGAUUUCAACCCUGUGGCUUCAAGCUCAUGUACAAUUAGUGUAAUGCACACAGGUGGGAAUGUAAAUUACCUGAGUCUCGCAGAUCUAAUGAAAUGACUUGAUUGCUGUAUGUUUAAUUAGAGUUGUGAGACUAAUGACAAAUUCAGCCAAUAUAACAAAAAUGCUUUGAUAUAAUCCUACGGCUAUCUGAGGUUUAAUUUACAACAUACAGAUUAUGAUGCAGGAUUCUUUGGUUGUUCUGUACUUAGUUUUGAUGUAUAUGUUAACAAGCUGGGUAGGUUUUUAUAUUAGUUUACAAAGCAAACACAAAUCAAACCCUUCCUGCUUCUCUCUGAUACGACUUCCUGAUCGAUAAACGAGUGAUUGAUGGACUACACGUGCAGCUAAGAAUGUGUAUGAUCGGCCUGAAAAAAGUGCUCUUUAUGAUCUGAGUCCCUUCAUAAGCCUCAACAGUUUUCAAAUCACACUUUCUGCAUCUGACUAUUGUUCAUUAUAGCUCUUCUACAGAGAAAUGCAUGCUGGGUAAACUGCUGUAUAUGUGUGGUCACACAGAGGGUAUGUGAGGCCACUGUGGCCCCUGUAUGUCUGCACACACACUCACACACACACAUAUUGCAGUUUUCUUUGUGCGCUCUGAAUGUUUAUGCGAACACCUUUGUCCAUUUGUGUGUGUUUGCGUGUGCUACUGUGUGUGUGAGUGUGAGUGUGAGUGUGUGUGCUUCCAGAUCUCUGUUACAGCCUGUCCAUUGUGAAGGCGAGUGUUGAGCAAGAUCCUGACCCACCGGCGGGUACUAAUCAGACGCAUUCCUCAGGAUUAAACGGCCAAUUAACAAUAAGAGAGCCAUUGUAGCCCUGUCUCCCUGUGCGUCACAGUUAAAAGGUUUGUGUGUGUCGCAGUGCGCGCGUGUGUGGCAAGGGAAUGUGUGUUUGUGUGCGCAAGGUGCUUUAACCAUUCAAAAAGCUCUCUUUGUGACUUUUUUUUACCAGCUUGCUGCACUUGUUCGUUGCACUUCUCAGAAUUUUGGUUAACAUGCACGCCAUAGCUUCAUAAAAACUCUUUAUUAGAUAUGUGCAAUCUAAUGUAAAGCAGAGUAAAAAGAGGUGCAUUGUGGGUCCUGCAUGCCAAAUAGUGGCUGCAAGUCACAAGAUUGUGUGUGUGUGUGUAACAUGGUGUUCCUAAUGAUGCAAGUUAAUCCAGGGUUUGUUGGGUGCACCUGGACUUUAAACACUAACACAGCACCACAAACAAUAUCAUGAUUAAUAUUUCCUGUUCUGUUCACUGGGGUUUAUAUCUCAGUGUUGUGCAUGUUGUGUAUCUUCAGCAUGUCUGCACAUAAAUUGUGUUUUAUGUGUGUGUUUGUGAGUGUGUUUUGGCGUGUGUGUCUGCAGAUUGGGUAUAUGCAUCAGUGUGGCACGUGUCGGAGUGUGGCAGAGGAUUAGUGAGGCUCAGGGCCUGUUGCUCCACUUCCAUGAUUACUACUGCUGUCUACUGCCAUAUGGGGUGGGGUGGGGGUGCAGGUGGAGGAUGGUGGCUGUGGGGGGUUUGCAA
Non-coding RNA from Xyrichtys novacula (pearly razorfish), 6357 nucleotides. Lineage: Eukaryota; Metazoa; Chordata; Actinopteri; Labriformes; Labridae. The record is from the annotation of a GenBank genome assembly.